RNAcentral lists this ribosomal RNA (301 nucleotides) under uncultured bacterium. Its description in RNAcentral is "partial 16S ribosomal RNA". It matches the Rfam family "Bacterial small subunit ribosomal RNA", at positions 509 to 807 of the family's 1533-position model. The record is from RNAcentral.
CAGUCGCCGCGGGAAUACGAAGGGUGCAAGCGUUACUCGGAAUUACUGGGCGUAAAGCGUGCGUAGGUGGUGGUUUAAGUCCGUUGUGAAAGCCCUGGGCUCAACCUGGGAAUUGCAGUGGAUACUGGGUCACUAGAGUGUGGUAGAGGAUAGUGGAAUUUCCGGUGUAGCAGUGAAAUGCGUAGAGAUCGGAAGGAACAUCUGUGGCGAAGGCAGCCAUCUGGCCUAAUACUGACGCUGAGGUACGAAAGCAUGGGGAGCAAACAGGAUUAGAUACCCCAGUAGUCCCUGUCUCUUAUAC